CCUACGGGAGGCAGCAGUGAGGAAUAUUGGUCAAUGGGCGCGAGCCUGAACCAGCCAAGUAGCGUGAAGGAUGACUGCCCUACGGGUUGUAAACUUCUUUUAUAAAGGAAUAAAGUGAGGCACGGGUGCCUUUUUGUAUGUACUUUAUGAAUAAGGAUCGGCUAACUCCGUGCCAGCAGCCGCGGUAAUACGGAGGAUCCGAGCGUUAUCCGGAUUUAUUGGGUUUAAAGGGAGCGUAGGUGGGUUGUUAAGUCAGUUGUGAAAGUUUGCGGCUCAACCGUAAAAUUGCAAUUGAUACUGGCAGCCUUGAGUACAGGUGAGGGAGGCGGAAUUCGUGGUGUAGCAGUGAAAUGCUUAGAUAUCGCGAAGAACUCCGAUUGCGAAGGCAGCUUACUAAACUGCCACUGACAUUGAUGCACGAAGGUGUGGGUAUCAAACGGGAUUAGAUACCCUUGUAGUC
RNAcentral lists this ribosomal RNA (460 nucleotides) under uncultured bacterium. Its description in RNAcentral is "partial 16S ribosomal RNA". It matches the Rfam family "Bacterial small subunit ribosomal RNA", at positions 338 to 795 of the family's 1533-position model. The record is from RNAcentral.